Vanessa tameamea is the source of this 1719-nucleotide RNA transcript. It is a transcript of the gene named tropomyosin-1, with no coding region annotated. The record is from RefSeq and is a predicted model, not a curated record. The transcript is spliced from 8 exons. NCBI's taxonomy places the organism in Eukaryota, Metazoa, Arthropoda, Insecta, Lepidoptera, Nymphalidae.
AAAUGAAGCGGAUACCGAUGUGGGAGUGAGCAAGCACGACGUGAUUGCGAUGGUGGAUUGGAAUCCUGAAUUUUUUGGCACCGAAAAUAGUGCGGGCGGGCGGCGUGAGCGCAGGGCGGGCGCGCGCGCAGUGCGUGUCGCUCCGCCGUGUGAAUAGCCCGCUAGGCCAGUAACUGGCGUAUUUUUUCGACCGGACCGUAAAAACAAAAAGCCGCCACCAUGGACGCGAUUAAGAAGAAGAUGCAGGCGAUGAAGCUGGAGAAGGACAAUGCCAUGGACAAGGCAGAUACCUGCGAACAGCAGGCCAGAGAUGCCAACCUCCGUGCCGAGAAGGUCAAUGAAGAAGUACGUGAGCUCCAAAAGAAACUCGCCCAGGUUGAGGAGGAUCUCGUCCUGAACAAGAACAAGCUCGAACAGGCCAACAAAGACUUGGAAGAGAAGGAGAAGCAGUUGGCCGCUACUGAGGCUGAGGUGGCCGCGAUGAACAGGAAGGUCCAACAGAUUGAGGAGGACCUCGAGAAAUCUGAGGAGAGGUCUGGCACUGCCCAGCAGAAAUUGCUUGAAGCUCAACAGGCUGCUGACGAGAACAACCGUAUGUGCAAAGUAUUGGAGAACAGAGCACAACAAGACGAGGAGCGCAUGGACCAACUUACCAACCAACUUAAGGAAGCGCGUUUGCUCGCUGAAGACGCUGACGGAAAAUCUGAUGAGGUUUCACGUAAGCUGGCCUUCGUUGAAGACGAACUCGAAGUCGCUGAGGACCGUGUGAAGUCUGGUGAUGCUAAAAUCUCAGAACUUGAAGAAGAAUUAAAGGUCGUCGGUAACUCCCUCAAAUCUCUGGAAGUAUCCGAAGAAAAGGCCAACCAGCGUGUAGAAGAAUUCAAAAAGCAGCUGAAGACCCUCACCAUCAAACUUAAGGAGGCUGAGGCACGCGCUGAGUUUGCUGAGAAGACCGUCAAGAAACUCCAGAAGGAAGUUGACAGGCUCGAAGACGCAUUGUUCAACGAGAAGGAGAAAUACAAGGCGAUUUGCGAUGACUUGGACGGCACAUUCGCCGAGCUCACAGGAUACUAACAACCUCGCACUUAGUUUAAGAUUAUACCGUCCCAAAACAUCACCCGUAAAAACCCCAAAUAUCACACUGUCAUUUGUAUAAACUACCAAAUUUUUCGAUCUGUUCAACUACAAGGUUUUCUGCGACUGAUUACUUGAUAGGUCAUCAUUUAGCAUCUUCACUACCAACUUCCAGUUUCUUAACCUCUUUGUAUAGUAUCGCUUUUAAUUUCAACUUCUUACUAAUUAACCCUAACCUCGUCGAUAUUUAGAGGAUUGUCAAUAUUGAAAUUCGGAGUUUUAUUUACUCUAGCGUUUAGGGCAUUUUGGGACAAUCCUCUAUAAAUCGUAGUCUCGAGCCCUGCUUUUUGUGUUGUGAUUAAUACGUCUUAUGCUUUGCUGCUACCGUCGUGGGUCAAUGCUUCCAAGACGAGUUGGGCAUCAACAAGGACAGAUACAAGAGUUUGGCCGACGAGAUGGACUCCACCUUCGCCGAGCUGGCCGGCUACUAGGCACCUCCACAUUCACAUACAAACAUUCACCUGACAGUAAAGGCAGCACCACCGCCGAACUAAUGCGAACUACACUUUGUGUUCGUGAUGUAAUAUUUAUUAAUAUUAUAUGUAAAUUUAUUUACGAUUUUGAAUAAAAUAAUUUAUAACAACA